AUGGCUUGGUUCAGGGGCCACAGUAUCCAUGUCUAUAACCUGGAGUUUAUUAAGCUACUGAAGAGCAAGAAUGUGCACAUCAUGUGCUACCCUGCCCACACAACCCAUGCGCUGCAACCGGCGGACAAGGCCCACUUCAAGAGUCUAAAACACCACUGGGACCAGGAAGGGAGGAAGUGGACGAGGAUGAUGGCUGGGCAGAAGGUGUCAAGGAUGGAGUUCUUUGCGUUGUUCAGCAGGGCUUGGGCAAAGGCUGCCACUAUUGAAAAUGCCCAGGCAGGGUUCCGGGGGACAGGGAUGUUCCCUCUCAAUAAAGAUAUUCUCCCUGAGACUGCUUUUGCCCCCAGUAAGACCACCGAAAGUGUGCUACCAUCCAUUCUACCAACCCCACCCACAAGGCCGCAGUCUCUCCCAACCCCACCCAGUCUCUCCCACCCCCACCCAGUGUCUCUUACCCCCGCCCACAAGACCAGAGUCUCUCCCACCCCUGCCACUGGACCAUGGUCACCCCUGCUGACCUUGACCCACCCUGCCCGCCAGCCAUCAGCCCUGCUCUCUGGACAUCAGCCCUCCCACCCGCCAGCCAGACCUCAGUCACCUGCCGAUCCGCCAGCUAGACCUCAGUCCUCUGCUUCCCUGACACCCCUGCUACCUGUGGAACCACUGUACUUUUUCCCAGAAGAUGAGAAGGUGGUGUUUCAAGAGGUUGUGUUGGAGGAUGUACCGGAAGAAGAUAAUGACCUCUUCAAUCAGUUCACACCACAGAAAGAAACCCACUCCCAGGAUGAGGGACCUUCCACCUCCACAUCUGUGAGAUUGGUCACAUUCACUGACUUGAUCUCAGUGCCGCAAAGGGAGAGGGCCAUCAGAAAGAGAGUGAAGCCACCAUCAUAUAACCUCACAAGUGAGCAACGCAUUGAACAUAUUAAAACAAAAAAGUAAUCCGGCAAGCAACCAGCCAAGCAAGCCAGCAAGUACCCGGCCAGCAAGCAACCAAAAGGGGAAAAAAAGCAGGGCAAAAGAAGCAAAUCACCUUGCAAAGCCUGCAACACCCACUAUGGUGACCCAAAUGACCCUAAGGCUACUGAGGAAUGGGUAAAAUGUGAUCCAUGUUCUGCCUGGUUUCAUGAGAGCUGUGGUGAAGAGAAUGGUAUCUGUGAUGACGAUGGUUUCAUUUGCAAAGACUGUGUUUGAAAAAUGUUUUCAUCACACACACAAAUCAGUUAUCAAUUUUGAAUGUGAAUUUUUGUAAUUUGCACAUUUCCUUCUAAAUGUAUUGUUCACACACACACACCACUGACAUCAGUUCACUGAUCUAUGUUGUUCCAAAAUGGGCUUUUUUAUACUUUUUUAAUUGCACAUUUGAAUAUGUGGGUUUACACCCAAAAUGUAUUAUUUUUUUUUUAAUGGUACAUAUGAAUAUGUUUGUUUAAUGCAGUUUAAAUGUUAUGUGGCUGUAUAAGCAGUUCUGUUUUAAAAUUAAAAUUGAUGAUAAAUUACUAUUUCCCUUUGCAGUUUGACUGGCCCAUCUGAUGUUUCAAGAACUGUAGGGCCUAAAUAAUUAUAUUUUAUUACAUAAUUUCAACACAAAAUUAUCAAAAACAGUCAUUAUUAAUCAUACAUACACGUGGAAUAGACAUAUAUGGUAUUAUUGUCCCAAACGAUUUACCAAAAAGUGGCCCAAUUUAGCUGAUAUCACCCCUAAGUUAAUUAAGAGACUUACGGUUUAGACACCAUAUUGCCUAUUUUUGCAUUAUUUCGACAACAAAAUUAAAUCAAAUCAAAGCCACAGCGCUGCUUUGCCUCUCUGA
Long non-coding RNA from Cyprinus carpio (common carp), 1811 nucleotides. NCBI's taxonomy places the organism in Eukaryota, Metazoa, Chordata, Actinopteri, Cypriniformes, Cyprinidae. The record is from Ensembl.